ACGGGGAGCAGCCCAGAGUCUGAAUCAGCUUGUGUGUUAGUGGAACGGUCUGGAAAGUCCGACGGUACAGGGUGAUAGUCCCGUACACCAAAAUGCACAGGCUGUGAACUCGAAGAGUAGGGCGGGACACGUGGUAUCCUGUCUGAAUAUGGGGGGACCAUCCUCCAAGGCUAAAUACUCCUGACUGACCGAUAGUGAACCAGUACCGUGAGGGAAAGGCGAAAAGAACCCCGGCGAGGGGAGUGAAAAAGAACCUGAAACCGUGUACGUACAAGCAGUGGGAGCACCUUCGGGUGUGACUGCGUACCUUUUGUAUAAUGGGUCAGCGACUUAUAUUCUGUAGCAAGGUUAACCGUAUAGGGGAGCCGCAGGGAAACCGAGUCUUAACUGGGCGUUAAGUUGCAGGGUAUAGACCCGAAACCCGGUGAUCUAGCCAUGGGCAGGUUGAAGGUUGGGUAACACUAACUGGAGGACCGAACCGACUAAUGUUGAAAAAUUAGCGGAUGACUUGUGGCUGGGGGUGAAAGGCCAAUCAAACCGGGAGAUAGCUGGUUCUCCCCGAAAGCU
This 567-nucleotide ribosomal RNA is filed under the name Klebsiella pneumoniae. RNAcentral describes it as "partial 23S ribosomal RNA". It matches the Rfam family "Bacterial large subunit ribosomal RNA", at positions 290 to 867 of the family's 2925-position model. Lineage: Bacteria; Pseudomonadati; Pseudomonadota; Gammaproteobacteria; Enterobacterales; Enterobacteriaceae. The record is from RNAcentral.